Molecule: ribosomal RNA, 497 nt
Filed under: uncultured bacterium
Lineage: Bacteria
Description: partial 16S ribosomal RNA
Rfam family: Bacterial small subunit ribosomal RNA
Source: RNAcentral
GAUGAACGCUGGCGGCGUGCCUAAUACAUGCAAGUCGAGCGAACAGACGAGGAGCUUGCUCCUCUGACGUUAGCGGCGGACGGGUGAGUAACACGUGGAUAACCUACCUAUAAGACUGGGAUAACUUCGGGAAACCGGAGCUAACACCGGAUAAUAUAUUGAACCGCAUGGUUCUUUAGUGAAAGACGGUUUUGCUGUCACUUAUAGAUGGAUCCGCGCCGCAUUAGCUAGUUGGUAAGGUAACGGCUUACCAAGGCGACGAUGCGUAGCCGACCUGAGAGGGUGAUCGGCCACACUGGAACUGAGACACGGUCCAGACGCCUACGGGAGGCAGCGGUAGGGAAUCUUGCGCAAUGGGCGAAAGCCUGACGGAGCAACGCCGCGUGAGUGAUGAAGGUCUUCGGAUCGUAAAACACUGUUAUUAGGGAAGAACAAAUGUGUAAGUAACUAUGCACGUCUUGACGGUACCUAAUCAGAAAGCCACGGCUAACUUCGGG